Long non-coding RNA from Cavia porcellus (domestic guinea pig), 3239 nucleotides. RefSeq lists it as uncharacterized. The record is from RefSeq and is a predicted model, not a curated record. Lineage: Eukaryota; Metazoa; Chordata; Mammalia; Rodentia; Caviidae. The transcript is spliced from 5 exons.
AGGCGUAAACACUCCAAUUCAUUCCUAAAAUAUUUGUUUCAAAAUAAUUAUUUGCACAGAUCUGUUAAAAAAGUCACAUAACCUUUGAAAGACUACUCACAAUUUUAAAAGUUGGAAAAAGUAGAUGACUUGGCUCAAAAUCUCCAUUUCGGGACUUUUCACAUUUUCUUUUAGGCGUAAACACUCCAAUUCAUUCCUAAAAUAUUUGUUUCAAAAUAAUUAUUUGCACAGAUCUGUUAAAAAAGUCACAUAACCUUUGAAAGACUACUCACAAUUUUAAAAGUUGGAAAAAGUAGAUGACUUGGCUCAAAAUCUCCAUUUCGGGACUUUUCACAUUUUCUUUUAGGCGUAAACACUCCAAUUCAUUCCUAAAAUAUUUGUUUCAAAAUAAUUAUUUGCACAGAUCUGUUAAAAAAGUCACAUAACCUUUGAAAGACUACUCACAAUUUUAAAAGUUGGAAAAAGUAGAUGACUUGGCUCAAAAUCUCCAUUUCGGGACUUUUCACAUUUUCUUUUAGGCGUAAACACUCCAAUUCAUUCCUAAAAUAUUUGUUUCAAAAUAAUUAUUUGCACAGAUCUGUUAAAAAAGUCACAUAACCUUUGAAAGACUACUCACAAUUUUAAAAGUUGGAAAAAGUAGAUGACUUGGGACGUGUGAUGUAUAAGAAUGUUUUGCUCAACAAUGGACUGCACGCUCAACUAUGGUCCUUGAAACGAUAUUGCCCAGUGAUGUGGGAGAUGUAAGUGUGUGUGGCCACCUGCUUACAUUUGGAUAAUAAUGAAAAUAACAAACCACACAUGCUUUGGAUCAUAUUCUCAAUGUAAGCAAUGCAUGAGUCAAUAUGCAAUCAAAGAAAUACUACAAUGCCGAUACAACAGCAAUAUAAAAUUUUCAUCAAAGAUUAAUUUACCUGAUUCACUUUUGAAGCUUUGAAUUCCAUUUCAAGUGUUUCAUAAGAAAUUUCAAGCUGUUGUUUUGCUUCAACUUCUUGAGAACAUUUUUCCUUGAGACUUUUUCUCUUGUCCUCUUCUUUUAAGACAAGUCUGAAGUGAAACCUGCAUAUUUAAAGUGUAUUUUUUAAGUGGAUCAAGAAGCCAACCCCUUCCUCUGAGUCAGUGACAGUCACAGGCCAAGGGAAGUAGAAAUAUGAAGCCAAUGGCUUCCUGUGAGCCAGCAGUUGGGCUGGGAGAUAAGAGCUGAGCCCCUCCCAACCCCUGCAAGCAACCAGCUGACCACAGACAUACAGGCUGGGAUAAUAGCUACUGAGGCAGGAAGAAAAACAACUUAAGCCUGUAGUGUUUAGCAUUUCACUUUGCAGGCCUAGCCCAGUGCUCUGAGCAUUUACUUGGUGGAAAAUAAUAUGCAGUAUAGCAGCUAUGGGAGAGUUCCUUCUAAAGGUGAAAGCCACUGUUAAUUCCCUAUUAUCUUGUUUUAAAGUUCUGUAUCACUUUCAGGGUUUUGUUUGGCUUGUUUUAGUUUUAUUCUGUUUUACUUUGUUUCAUUUUAUUCUGUUUAUUGACAGCUAUUUCAAAGAUAACAAGACAUACUAUUGAAGCUGAUGGUGAUUUCUUAUUAUCUUGUUUUUGAAGUCUUCCAUUGUUUUCAUUGUUUUGUUUCGAUUGGUUUCUGUUCUGUUUUGUUUCAUUUUAUAAUGUCUGAUGGUAUGGCCGGCUAUUUUGAAGACAACAAGAGGCAUUAUGGUAGCCAUUGUUGAUUUCUUAUGGUCUGGUUUUAAAGUUGUGUAUCACUUUCACUGUUUUGUUUUGAUUGGUUUUAUUUAUUGUUUUAUUCAUGUCAAAAUAGAAGAAAAUAUAACAUGCAUUUUUUAGAAAAUAUAAAGUUCUAGCUAUGAUCUGGCUGUAUAUGUUGAUUUAGUAUCCUAAUGAAAUGCUUUCAAAUAUUUUUCCUUCCUAUCUGUCAUAUUUUAUAUCUUUCAAUUUAAUCUCUUCCAAAGGGCACACCUACUUGAAGAGUGUGUAUGUGUGUGUGUGUGUGUGUGUGUGUGAAACACAAUUCUGAGAGGUAACAUCUUAUUUUAUACAUCACUAAGGUAGGUGAAGAUAUGCCAAGUAACUUGCACAGGUGCAAGUACAGACAGUAAGAAUUUAAACCCAGGCAUGUUCCACAGUACAGUGGAUCCCCUAAAUGCACAGUACUGGUCCUAGAGCACUUGCAAUUGCAAAAGACUGCAAAUUUCAGAUAUGAUCAUAAAAAUGCUUAUCAAUGCCUUUUUUAUAGUUUAAACUCUAUAAAUAUGCUAUGACUUCUGGAAUUACAUAAUUUAAUAAAAUAUUGUAUUGAUGAAACUUUAGUGUGGGGCAUUUUGGCAGCAUCAUUGGGAUCUUAGGGUUUUUAAGAACACAACUGACAACAAUGGAGACAGACGCAUGCAGUGCAUCAACCUGUUACAAUGCAGAGAUGGGUUACAAGGCAGCAAGCACUCCAAAGCCAGAAGAACUGAGUAACGUGUGAAUGCACUACUCGCAAACCUCCUGCCAGAAACUCCUUGUGGAGGAUCCCUGUGGUUGCCAUGAAACUGUGGGGGGCUCUGUGAAAAAAUGUUAGGAUCCAACUAAAAAUCAGUGAAAGAGUGAGGCUGAGAACUCUGAACUGUGACAUCGUGGGAGUAUACCUUAUGUUAUGAAAUAACUACCUUUAAGCAUUUAGUGUUGUUAAGUGAUGUUAAGACCACAUUGACAUUUCCCACAGCUUCAAACACUGAUGGCACAGGCAUGACUAUCCUGCUGGGCAGCACUGAAAGGCAUGCAAGUGUGGCUCCACUGUGACUGUGUUAACCCAUAUCAGCAUCCAUUGUCAGUUAUAAUCACAUAAUUUCUGAGUUUUACAAAUAUUCUUAAAAAUUAAAAUGAAUAAACAUGUCUUUCUCUACUGAUGGUUUCUAGUGGUGUAUGAAUACACUCUAAAAUCUUAAGAAAACAACUCUUAAAUGCUGCAUUCUUGCUCAGAACACCUGCUUCCCUAACUUUCCCAGUGAAAGGUGUCUAGUGUUGCCGAUCGUCCCCGGUAGUCAGCUUCCUGUGUGACCAGUGUUGAAACUGCUCUUUGUCAAAUUCAUUUGUGCUUCUCUUAGCCAAUCUUUCUGCAGCAAUGAUGAGGCUGGGUAUCCUCUUGCUUUCCCUGUAGACUACACUGUUCUGUUUUAUUUCUAGAAAAGCAAUUCCUGCUAACAUUCCAUUAAAGGAAAAUAAAACAUUUACAGAGGUUUUAACUUCCUCCA